Molecule: ribosomal RNA, 623 nt
Filed under: uncultured marine bacterium
Lineage: Bacteria
Description: bacterial SSU rRNA
Rfam family: Bacterial small subunit ribosomal RNA
Source: RNAcentral
GUCGAACGAGAUCUUCGGAUCUAGUGGCGCACGGGUGAGUAACGCGUGGGAACCUACCUUUCAGUGCGGGACAACGUUUGGAAACGAACGCUAAUACCGUAUACGCCCUCCGGGGGAAAGGUCAGCCGCUGAAAGAGGGGCCCGCGUCUGAUUAGCUUGCUGGUAAGGUAACGGCUUACCAAGGCUUCGAUCAGUAGCUGGUCUGAGAGGAUGAUCAGCCACACUGGGACUGAGACACGGCCCAGACUCCUACGGGAGGCAGCAGUGGGGAAUAUUGGACAAUGGAGGCAACUCUGAUCCAGCAAUGCCGCGUGUGUGAUGAAGGCCCUAGGGUUGUAAAGCACUUUCAACGGUGAAGAUGAUGACGGUAGCCGUAGAAGAAGCCCCGGCUAACUUCGUGCCAGCAGCCGCGGUAAUACGAAGGGGGCGAGCGUUAUUCGGAAUUAUUGGGCGUAAAGGGCUCGCAGGCUGCUUGAACAGUUAGACGUGAAAUCCCCGGGCUCAACCUGGGAACUGCGUUUAAUACUAGCAAGCUAGAGAAAUAGAGAGGAAAGUGGAACUCCCAGUGUAGAGGUGAAAUUCGUAGAUAUUGGGAAGAACACCCAGUGGCGAAAGCGACUUUC